RNAcentral lists this ribosomal RNA (253 nucleotides) under uncultured bacterium. Its description in RNAcentral is "partial 16S ribosomal RNA". It matches the Rfam family "Bacterial small subunit ribosomal RNA", at positions 524 to 776 of the family's 1533-position model. The record is from RNAcentral.
CACGUAGGGCGCGAGCGUUGUCCGGAAUUAUUGGGCGUAAAGAGCUCGUAGGCGGCCUGUUGCGUCCGCUGUGAAAGCCCGGGGCUUAACCCCGGGUUUGCAGUGGAUACGGGCAGGCUAGAGGUAGGUAGGGGAGAAUGGAAUUCCCGGUGUAGCGGUGAAAUGCGCAGAUAUCGGGAGGAACACCGGUGGCGAAGGCGGUUCUCUGGGCCUUACCUGACGCUGAGGAGCGAAAGCGUGGGGAGCGAACAGG